This 331-nucleotide ribosomal RNA is filed under the name uncultured bacterium. RNAcentral describes it as "bacterial SSU rRNA". It matches the Rfam family "Bacterial small subunit ribosomal RNA", at positions 568 to 898 of the family's 1533-position model. The record is from RNAcentral.
CGCGUAGGCGGAUAUCCAAGUCAGGGGUGAAAUCUUUCAGCUUAACUGGAAAACGGCCUUUGAUACUGGAUGUCUGGAGUGAGGUAGGGGCAUGCGGAACUUCCGGUGGAGCGGUGAAAUGCGUAGAUAUCGGAAGGAACACCGGUGGCGAAGGCGGCGUGCUGGACCUCAACUGACGCUGAGGCGCGAAAGCCAGGGGAGCAAACGGGAUUAGAUACCCCGGUAGUCCUGGCCCUAAACGAUGGGUACUAGACUGUAGACUGAACAUGGGUUUACAGUCGAAGCAAAAGUGCUAAGUACCCCGCCUGGGGAGUAUGGUCGCAAGGCUGAA